Long non-coding RNA from Odocoileus virginianus texanus, 1317 nucleotides. RefSeq lists it as uncharacterized. Lineage: Eukaryota; Metazoa; Chordata; Mammalia; Artiodactyla; Cervidae. The record is from RefSeq and is a predicted model, not a curated record.
GGGACGCGCUGUGGGGAGGGCCAAGGGUGGCCGAGCGGAUUCUCAGCCCACAGCCCAGCAAUCGCUUCUCCUGCUGCGGCCUUGCUAGCGCCGCGUGGCCCCGAGCGAGACUCUGCUUUGGCCCUAAAGGGCCCCCCACAGUUGGCUUCCCUCCCUCGCUUUCUCCUUUGGAAAACUGGAGGCAUCGGAAUAAGGAGCCCGCGGAGGAAAACCGCAACGCCAACCAGGCCUUCACGUCGAAUCGCCGCAGCAAGUGGCCUCACCUGGUUUGGCUGCGUCUUGCCGAGGAACAAUGAGGAGUUGGAAGGCCCUCUUAUUUUCAUCGACUGGCCUGGGUGCAGGAAAACCGAAGAGGUUUUGGCCCCUGGAAACCAAAGGGUCCCAAGGACAAUUACUGUCAGCCAUUCCCCCACUCAAACCCAGGAAACUUAAUUUACACUACUUCAGGAGAAAUUCCUAUAUCAUCUACAAAUGAUGUGUUGUCUUUCCAUGCUCAUAACAAACCAGUCGAAGCAAAACAAAAGGAUCUCAAACUUACUCAUCUUCAGUCUUGAAAGGUCCCUCUGUGUUAAUGGAUGUAAUCAAAGGCCUUCUAAGGUUGCUGAUAGAUAACUAGAACCGAGCAUCUCCUUACAUGUCCGCCAUCGGAGAGUCCCAAGCUCCAGUCCUUACGUGAAUUUCCGGACUCUUCCAUAGCCCUUCCGGUAGAAUCCAGGUGGCCCCAUAGUUCUGCCUUUAGCAAGAGAGCUAUUUCCUAGGAGUAACUGGGUGGGCUGCAACCCGCCUGCCUCUUCACGUUGAGAAAAGCUUCUCUUGUGGGAAGGUCUGUUUCUAUUCAUCCGAUUUUCUAAUGUCUUUGAUCAGCCUAAAUAUUUUCUUGGCAAACGGAAAUUGACCAUGCCAUGAAUAUGAUAACAACCUGCUUGGAAAGAAGCUAUUUUGUUUCGAAGCGGCAAGCGGGGUUGGGGGGGGGGGGGGNUGGCUGGUAAGAAUGCCUGAAAUAGAUUCCUGAACAUACAUCUUUUUGCAGUCUCUGAAGCAGCUUUUUGAAAGAUAGUCAGAUAAACACACACCUGGUCUCCUAAAAGUCUUUGAUACACUUUAUAUUUAAAAAAACAGAACUUCAAUGGACGCCUCUGGAGAAUUUCCCUUUAAAACAUAGAUGAAAGGCAAGGUUAAUACAAUGUUCUCUUAAUCCCUUUGGCUUGUGAGUCAAAAUAAAUAUUUUCUUCUGCAUGUGAUUGUACAUCCUGCCAUUUGGCUGUGGCUAUAAGCAAAUCGACCGGUAAUAAAAGUGUUUUGAGGUUGUGUAUUAAA